AUUGAACGCUGGCGGCAUGCUUUACACAUGCAAGUCGAACGGCAGCGGGGUAGUGCUUGCACUACUGUCCGGCGAGUGGCGAACGGGUGAGUAAUAUAUCGGAACGUACCGAGUAAUGGGGGAUAACCAAUCGAAAGAUUGGCUAAUACCGCAUACGUCCUGAGGGAGAAAGCGGGGGAUCGCAAGACCUCGCGUUAUUCGAGCGGCCGAUAACUGAUUAGCUAGUUGGUGGGGUAAAGGCCUACCAAGGCGACGAUCAGUAGCGGGUCUGAGAGGACGAUCCGCCACACUGGGACUGAGACACGGCCCAGACUCCUACGGGAGGCAGCAGUGGGGAAUUUUGGACAAUGGGGGCAACCCUGAUCCAGCCAUGCCGCGUGUAUGAAGAAGGCCUUCGGGUUGUAAAGUACUUUUGUUAGGGAAGAAAAGGGAAGUGCUAAUACCACUUUUUGCUGACGGUACCUAAAGAAUAAGCACCGGCUAACUACGUGCCAGCAGCCGCGGUAAUACGUAGGGUGCGAACGUUAAUCGGAAUUACUGGGCGUAAAGCGAGCGCAGACGGUUAUUUAAGCAGGAUGUGAAAUCCCCGGGCUUAACCUGGGAACUGCGUUCUGAACUGGAUAGCUAGAGUGUGUCAGAGGGGGGUAGAAUUCCACGUGUAGCAGUGAAAUGCGUAGAGAUGUGGAGGAAUACCGAUGGCGAAGGCAGCCCCCUGGGAUAACACUGACGUUCAUGCUCGAAAGCGUGGGUAGCAAACAGG
Molecule: ribosomal RNA, 760 nt
Filed under: uncultured Eikenella sp.
Lineage: Bacteria; Pseudomonadati; Pseudomonadota; Betaproteobacteria; Neisseriales; Neisseriaceae
Description: bacterial SSU rRNA
Rfam family: Bacterial small subunit ribosomal RNA
Source: RNAcentral